This 438-nucleotide ribosomal RNA is filed under the name uncultured bacterium. Its description in RNAcentral is "partial 16S ribosomal RNA". It matches the Rfam family "Bacterial small subunit ribosomal RNA", at positions 339 to 795 of the family's 1533-position model. The record is from RNAcentral.
CUACGGGGCGCUGCAGUGGGGAAUAUUGCACAAUGGAGGAAACUCUGAUGCAGCAACGCCGCGUGGAGGAUGACACUUUUCGGAGCGUAAACUCCUUUUAUAUAGGAAGAAGAUGACGGUACUAUAUGAAUAAGCGCCGGCUAACUCCGUGCCAGCAGCCGCGGUAAUACGGAGGGCGCAAGCGUUACUCGGAAUCACUGGGCGUAAAGAGCGUGUAGGCGGAUUAAAAAGUCAGAAGUGAAAUCCUAUAGCUUAACUAUAGAACUGCUUCUGAAACUCUUAAUCUAGAAUAUGGGAGAGGUAGAUGAAAUUUCUGGUGUAGGGGUAAAAUCCGUAGAGAUCAGAAGGAAUACCGAUUGCGAAGGCGAUCUACUAGAACAUUAUUGCCGCUGAGACGCGAAAGCGUGGGGAGCAAACAGGAUUAGAACCCGAGUAGUC